This 280-nucleotide long non-coding RNA is filed under the name Rosa chinensis. RNAcentral's name for it is "sRNA RchiOBHm_Chr7g0238241". Lineage: Eukaryota; Viridiplantae; Streptophyta; Magnoliopsida; Rosales; Rosaceae. The record is from RNAcentral.
UAUAUUGUAUAUCUGCUAGUUUCUGAGACUGCUCGUUUCGUUGGUUUUGAUGUGAUGAUGAGUUUUGAAUUUUGAUUAUGUGUGUAUGUUUUGCUUUGAAUUGAUAUUUGUUGAUAUAGAACGGUAAAUCUGAUAGUAAUUGCUUUGAAAUUGUUGUUGAACUAUGCUCUGCGCCUCUGGGCUACGAUUGGAAUUGAUUUUCUGUCAAAAACGAUGUAGCUUAAAGAUCGGACAGUUCUUUUGCAGUUUUCGUUUGAAGAUUGGUAAUCUGAACUCUUAG